This 442-nucleotide ribosomal RNA is filed under the name Pentaceros japonicus (Japanese armorhead). RNAcentral's name for it is "partial 12S rRNA". It matches the Rfam family "Bacterial small subunit ribosomal RNA", at positions 7 to 793 of the family's 1533-position model. The record is from RNAcentral. Lineage: Eukaryota; Metazoa; Chordata; Actinopteri; Acropomatiformes; Pentacerotidae.
CAAAAGCUUGGUCCUGACUUUACUAUCAACUUUAGCUAAACUUACACAUGCAAGUAUCCGCACCCCUGUGAGAAUGCCCCACAGUCCCCUGCCCGGGAACGAGGAGCUGGUAUCAGGCACAAUUACACCCAGCCCAUGACACCUUGCUUAGCCACACCCUCAAGGGAACUCAGCAGUGAUAGACAUUAAGCUAUAAGUGAAAACUUGACUUAGUCAAAGCUAAGAGGGUCGGUAAAACUCGUGCCAGCCACCGCGGUUAUACGAGAGACCCAAGUUGAUAGACGCCGGCGUAAAGAGUGGUUAAGAUAGACUGAAACUAAAGCCGAACACCCUCAGAGCUGUCAUACGCACCCGAAGGUAAGAAGUCCAAUCACGAAAGUGGCUUUAUGUCGCCUGAACCCACGAAAGCUAUGAUACAAACUAGGAUUAGAUACCCUAUUAU